AGAGUUUGAUCAUGGCUCAGGACGAACGCUGGCGGCGUGCCUAACACAUGCAAGUCGAACGGAGCUAGUGGAAAUAAGCCAUGGCAGAAAUAAACUAAGCUUAGUGGCGGACGGGUGAGUAACGCGUGAGUAACCUGCCUUUAAGAGGGGGAUAACGUUCUGAAAAGGACGCUAAUACCGCAUAAAGCAGACGGUUCGCAUGAAUUGACUGCCAAAGAUUUAUCGCUUAAAGAUGGACUCGCGUCCGAUUAGUUAGUUGGCGGGGUAGAGGCCCACCAAGACGACGAUCGGUAGCCGGACUGAGAGGUUGAACGGCCACAUUGGGACUGAGACACGGCCCAGACUCCUACGGGAGGCAGCAGUGGGGGAUAUUGCGCAAUGGGGGGAACCCUGACGCAGCAACGCCGCGUGAAGGAAGAAGGUUUUCGGAUUGUAAACUUCUUUUAUUAAGGACGAAAGAGACGGUACUUAAUGAAUAAGCUCCGGCUAACUACGUGCCAGCAGCCGCGGUAAUACGUAGGGAGCGAGCGUUGUCCGGAUUUACUGGGUGUAAAGGGUGCGUAGGCGGCUUGGCAAGUCAGAUGUGAAAUGUAUGGGCUUAACCCAUAGACUGCAUUUGAAACUGUUGAGCUUGAGUGAAGCAGAGGCAGGCGGAAUUCCCUGUGUAGCGGUGAAAUGCGUAGAGAUAGGGAGGAACACCAGUGGCGAAGGCGGCCUGCUGGGCUUUAACUGACGCUGAGGCACGAAAGCGUGGGUAGCAAACAGGAUUAGAUACCCUGGUAGUCCACGCCGUAACGAUG
Molecule: ribosomal RNA, 800 nt
Filed under: uncultured bacterium
Lineage: Bacteria
Description: bacterial SSU rRNA
Rfam family: Bacterial small subunit ribosomal RNA
Source: RNAcentral